UAGAUAGGGAUGAUGCAAAAAUAUAAUCCAACACUUGAUCUGAGAUAAUUUAGUGAAGUUAAAUCGUUUUAUAUGCCUCUGAAUCUAC
Molecule: small nucleolar RNA, 88 nt
Organism: Lupinus angustifolius (narrow-leaved blue lupine)
Lineage: Eukaryota; Viridiplantae; Streptophyta; Magnoliopsida; Fabales; Fabaceae
Rfam family: Small nucleolar RNA snoR31
Source: Rfam